CUUGUAUGACUACUUGCUUGCCCAGAAGAUUAAAAUAAGUGAAAGUAAGAAAACUUUUAAUGAAUAUGAAAAUUUCCGGGGAAGCUACAUGCUAAAGAAGCUAAAUCCUGCAAGUGGGUGGGCAUAUCAAUAUAUCAUAAAAAUAUUAAUUGGGUAAAGAAACUGAAGUUGGCUUGAGAAACAAGGGAAACACAUCAUCGAGAUUCGAGAAGAGGUACGGCAAUGUUGGAAGUGUGAAACCAGGACUAAUUAAGAACAACUUGUAUCAGGAUUAUAUUGAUUUCGCCUUUAAUUUGGGUUAAGCUCCUUGGACAAGGGAUUAAGGUUGUGACAAAGACAGUACACCAAGUGCAGAUAUUUUCUUGCAUCAUUGUCCUGAAAAAGAAUGAGGGAAUGAAAUGGAAAGGAGAUGAAAGAACAGUAAUGUUCAAGUCGCCUUUGUCUCCCCAACACAAUUUUAACUCCCUCUCUAUAAUUCCUUCCAACCUUUCACCUACCAUAUGACUAAACCCGCAUCUCCCCAGAUGGGGUGGCUUCACUCCCUCAUCUCCCCCAUGAAGAAGUUCUGGGAUCGUCUGCACUUCGGCCACAGAAAGCGUAGAGGAAUAUACAUUCUGUACAAGGAUGUGAAGUCUUGCCCAUGUGAAGAUGUGCAUGUCCUGUGGUCAAUUCUGGUUGAGUCUCAUCAACCAGCUUCUUUGCCAUCGAAAUGAUAUACACUCAAAUGAAGCUGGGUUUGGCUAGAUGGAAUCCAUGUACAAAAAAGUCAUGAAGCAGGUAAAUGGGCAAGUAUAUAAAUGGUCUGCCUUGCCAUUUGUCAAUAUGGUUGCCAAUAAUACUGCUCUAUAUACGUGUGUACAUAGAUACAUAUGUACAGCACUGCAUUAUACAUACUCAGAAAAAUCAAGUUUUCCUUAUUGUACAAAUUGAAUAAUGUGAAGACUAGAAUGUGUUGUUUAAUAUACACUGCUCGUUUCGUUUCUUCAGCAA
Long non-coding RNA from Hevea brasiliensis (rubber tree), 990 nucleotides. RefSeq lists it as uncharacterized. The record is from RefSeq and is a predicted model, not a curated record. Lineage: Eukaryota; Viridiplantae; Streptophyta; Magnoliopsida; Malpighiales; Euphorbiaceae. The transcript is spliced from 2 exons.